AGGUUUAGUUUAUGGUUUAGGAUUUGGAUUAGAGUUUAGGGUUGGAUUAGGGUUUGGAUUAGGGUUUGGAUUAGAGGUUGGUUAGGAUUUGAUUUAAGGUUUGGUUUAGAGUUUAGAAUUUGGAUUAGAGUUUAGGGUUGGAUUAGGGUUUGGAUUAGGGUUUGAAUUAGGGUUUAGGAUUUGGUUAGGAUUUGAUUUAGGGUUUGGAUUAGGGUUUGGUUAGUGUUUGAUUUAGGGUUUGGAUUAAGGUUUGGUUAGGAUUUGAUUUAAGGUUUGGUUUAGGGUUUAGGGUUGGAUUAGGGUUUGGUUUAGGAUUUAGGGUUUGGAAUAGGAUUUAAUUUAAGAUUUGUUUAAGAUUUGACUUAGAGUUUAGAAAUUAUUAGGGUUUAAGAUUUAAUUAGGUUUGGUCUAAAGUUGAGUGAAAUUCAAUAGGGUUUUAACUAGAAUUAAAUUAAGGUUGAAUUGACAUAUAUUUGAGUAAAAUUUGUGAUCGUUCUAAUAUUUCUUUAAGAAUUUUAUUUUUUGUUUGAA
RNAcentral lists this long non-coding RNA (531 nucleotides) under Physcomitrium patens. Its description in RNAcentral is "long non-coding RNA (PPAT_LNC005570)". Lineage: Eukaryota; Viridiplantae; Streptophyta; Bryopsida; Funariales; Funariaceae. The record is from RNAcentral.